RNAcentral lists this ribosomal RNA (406 nucleotides) under uncultured bacterium. RNAcentral's name for it is "partial 16S ribosomal RNA". It matches the Rfam family "Bacterial small subunit ribosomal RNA", at positions 30 to 526 of the family's 1533-position model. The record is from RNAcentral.
AUUGAACGCUGGCGGCAGGCCUAACACAUGCAAGUCGAGCGAGCGGCGGACGGGUGAGUAAUGUCUGGGAAACUGCCUGAUGGAGGGGGAUAACUACUGGAAACGGUAGCUAAUACCGCAUACUAUCAGAUGAGCCUAGGUCGGAUUAGCUAGUUGGUGGGGUAAAGGCCUACCACGGCGACGAUCCCGAGCUGGUCUGAGAGGAUGACCAGCCACACUGGAACUGAGACACGGUCCAGACUCCUACGGGAGGCAGCAGUGGGGAAUAUUGCACAAUGGGCGCAAGCCUGAUGCAGCCACGCCGCGUGUGUGAAGAAGGCCUUCGGGUUGUAAAGCACUUUCAGCGGGGAGGCGUUACCCGCAGAAGAAGCACCGGCUAACUCCGUGCCAGCAGCCGCGGUAAUAC